Molecule: non-coding RNA, 74 nt
Organism: Pangasianodon gigas (Mekong giant catfish)
Lineage: Eukaryota; Metazoa; Chordata; Actinopteri; Siluriformes; Pangasiidae
Source: the annotation of a GenBank genome assembly
GGAAGUAAUGGCUCAGUGGUUAAGGCUUUGGGCUACAGAGCAAAAGGUUGGUAGUUCAAAUCCCAGCACCUCCA